UUAAGGUCCUCUGGAUUGUAAACUUCUUUUAUCUGGGGCGAAAAAAGGUCUUUCUAGAUCACUUGACGGUACCAUAUGAAUAAGCACCGGCUAACUCCGUGCCAGCAGCCGCGGUAAUACGGAGGGUGCAAGCGUUAUCCGGAUUCACUGGGUUUAAAGGGUGCGUAGGCGGGCAGGUAAGUCAGUGGUGAAAUCCUGGAGCUCAACUCCAGAACUGCCAUUGAUACUAUCUGUCUUGAAUAUUGUGGAGGUAAGCGGAAUAUGUCAUGUAGCGGUGAAAUGCUUAGAUAUGACAUAGAACACCUAUUGCGAAGGCAGCUUACUACGCAUAUAUUGACGC
This 340-nucleotide ribosomal RNA is filed under the name uncultured Sediminibacterium sp. RNAcentral's name for it is "bacterial SSU rRNA". It matches the Rfam family "Bacterial small subunit ribosomal RNA", at positions 409 to 746 of the family's 1533-position model. Lineage: Bacteria; Pseudomonadati; Bacteroidota; Chitinophagia; Chitinophagales; Chitinophagaceae. The record is from RNAcentral.